AAGUGGCGCCGGGUGAGUACACGUGAGUACCUGCCUCCGGGACCGGGAGUGGCGGGCGGAAGGCCUGCUAAUACCGGAUAAGACCACAUGGGCUUCGGCCCAAGGGGGUCAAGUCGGCCUCUCAACGAAGCCGGCACCUGGAGAUGGGCUCGCGGACCAUUAGCUUGUUGGUAGGGUAACGGCCUACCAAGGCUGAGAUGGUUAGCUGGUCUGAGAGGAUGAUCAGCCACACUGGAACUGAGAGACGGUCCAGACUCCUACGGGAGGCAGCAGUGAGGAAUAUUGCGCAAUGGGGGAAACCCUGACGCAGCAACGCCGCGUGGGUGAAGAAGGCCCUCGGGUUGUAAAGCCCUGUCAGGUGGGAAGAACCCGCCGCAAGUAAAUAGCUUGCGGAGCUGACGGUACCACCGGAGGAAGCACCGGCUAACUCCGUGCCAGCAGCCGCGGUAAGACGGAGGGUGCGAGCGUUGUUCGGAAUCACUGGGCGUAAAGCGCGUGUAGGCUGCUCAGUAAGUCGGGUGUGAAAGCCCGGGGCUUAACCCCGGAAGUGCAUUCGAUACUGUUGAGCUUGAGUACGGGAAGGGGAAGUGGAAUUCCUGGUGUAGAGGUGAAAUUCGUAGAUAUCAGGAGGAACACCGGUGGCGAAAGCGGAUUCCUGGACCGAUACUGACGCUGAGACGCGAAAGCGUGGGGAGCAA
RNAcentral lists this ribosomal RNA (698 nucleotides) under uncultured organism. RNAcentral describes it as "bacterial SSU rRNA". It matches the Rfam family "Bacterial small subunit ribosomal RNA", at positions 93 to 771 of the family's 1533-position model. The record is from RNAcentral.